CAAUAGCGUAUAUUUAAGUUGUUGCAGUUAAAAAGCUCGUAGUUGGAUUUCGGUUAAGAGCGACCGGUCCGCCGUUUGGUGUGCACUGGUUGGUUUUAACUUCCUGUAGAGGACGUGCUCUGGGUUUAACGACCUGGACUCGGAGUCUACGUGGUUACUUUGAAAAAAUUAGAGUGUUCAAAGCGGGCUUACGCUUGAAUAUUUCAGCAUGGAAUAACACUAUAGGACUCCUGUCCUAUUUGGUUGGUCUCGGGACGGGAGUAAUGAUUAAGAGGAACAGUUGGGGGCAUUCGUAUUUCAUUGUCAGAGGUGAAAUUCUUGGAUUUAUGAAAGACGAACUUCUGCGAAAGCAUUUGCCAAGGAUGUUUUCAUUAA
RNAcentral lists this ribosomal RNA (375 nucleotides) under uncultured eukaryote. RNAcentral describes it as "partial 18S ribosomal RNA". It matches the Rfam family "Eukaryotic small subunit ribosomal RNA", at positions 592 to 976 of the family's 1831-position model. The record is from RNAcentral.